RNAcentral lists this ribosomal RNA (3007 nucleotides) under Elusimicrobiota bacterium. RNAcentral describes it as "Elusimicrobia bacterium (mine drainage metagenome) 23S ribosomal RNA". It matches the Rfam family "Bacterial large subunit ribosomal RNA". The record is from RNAcentral. Lineage: Bacteria; Pseudomonadati; Elusimicrobiota.
AAUAUGGUCAAGAUACCAAGGGUGUAUGGUGAAUGCCUAGGUGCUAGAAGUCUAUGAAGGACGUGGUUAGCUGCGAUAAGCCUCGGGGAGCUGCAAACAAGCUUUGAUCCGAGGAUUUCCGAAUCGGGAAACCGACCUGGCCGAAAGGCCUGCGUAUCACGUCGUAAAGUUCCGGACGUCAGUUCGGGAGAUAGCGGCGUGAAGACAACCCGGGGAAGUGAAACAUCUCAGUACCCGGAGGAAGAGAAAUCAAACGAGAUUCCCCUAGUAGUGGCGAGCGAACGGGGAAUAGCCCAAACCGAGACGGCAUGCCGUUUCGGGGUUGCAGGGCUUGUCCGGUGUAGAACCGGGGAGUGAGCAAUCGUCGGAUAGGAAAACGGUCCUGGAAAGGCCGGCCAGAGCGGGUGAUAGCCCCGUAUCCGAAAUCUAGACGACUCCCGACAAGUUCCUAAGUACCACGGGACACGUGAAAUCCCGUGGGAAUCCGGGGGGACCACCCUCCAAGGCUAAAUACUCUCUAGCGACCGAUAGUGCACAAGUACCGCGAGGGAAAGGCGAAAAGAACCCCUGAUGGGGAGUGAAAUAGAACCUGAAACCGUACACCUACAAGCUCUACGAGGCCUAUGGCAAACUUCGGUUUGCAACGGCUGAGUAGGUGCCUGUUGAAGAAUGACCCGGCGAGUUACUGGGUGGAGCAAGGUUAAGGGAUGCGUGAAAGCGUAUUCCGCAGCCGUAGCGAAAGCGAGUCUGAAAGGGCGAUAGUUCCAUCUAGUAGACCCGAAGCCAAGUGAUCUAACCAUGGCCAGAGUGAAGUCGGGGUAAAACCCGAUGGAGGCUCGAAGUGUUAAACGUUGAAAAGUUUCUACAUGAGCUGUGGUUAGGGGUGAAAGGCUAAUCGAACUUGGUGAUAGCUGGUUCUCUCCGAAAUAGCUUUAGGGCUAGCGUCCACCGUUAAACCGCGGGGGUAGAGCACUGGUAAAUGUAGGCGAGGCAACCCCUUGUCCGAAGUUUGUCAAACUCCGAAUACCGCGGCGUAUUAGUGGGCAGUCAGUUCGUGGGGGAUAAGCUCCACGUGCGAGAGGGGAACAACCCAGAACGUCGAUCUAGGUCCCAAAGUGUAUGCUAAGUGGAAAACACUGUGGAUUUGCAUAAACAGCCAGGAGGUUGGCUUAGAAGCAGCCACCCUUUAAAGAGUGCGUAACAGCUCACUGGUCUAGCGAGUCUGCGCGGAAAAUGACACGGGGCUCAAGCAUACCACCGGAAUCACGUCUGCUGUAGAUCCUUCGGGAUUUAUAGUGGGGUAGGAGAGCGUUCUUGAUGCAGCGAAGGCAUACCGUAAGGAGUGCUGGAGCGUCAAGAAGCGAGGAUGUCGGGAUAAGUAGCGAGAAACAAUGUGAGAAUCAUUGUCGCCGAAAACCUAAGGUUUCCUAGCACAAUGUUCGUCAGUGCAGGGUUAGUCGGGCCUAAGCCGAGGCCGAAAGGCGUAGGUGAUGGACAUCCGGUUAAUAUUCCGGAACUAGGUUAUGGGCGUCAGGAUGAGUGGUGACGCAGAAGGGUAAUCGAUCCCGUCUGAAGGAUGGCGGGCUAAAGCCGUAGGCGUGCUCUUCCAGGCAAAAUCCGGAGGGGCGUUAAGCUGAAAGCUGAUGGCGAGUUCCGGGCGACCGGAGCGAAGUCGACCAACCACGCUGCCAAGAAAAACCGCGCAUACUGCCCAUAGUCUACCCGUACCGUAAACCGACACAGGUGGGUGGGGUGAAAAUCCUAAGGCGCGCGAGUGAGACUUGGUUAAGGAACUAGGCAAAAUAAUCCCGUAACUUCGGAAGAAGGGAUGCUCCCCGCAAGGGGAGUCGCAGUGAAUUGGGCAUCGUGACUGUUUAACAAAAACACAGGACUCUGCUGAAAUCGCAAGAUGAGGUAUAGGGUCUGACUCCUGCCCGGUGCUGGAAGGUCAAGGGGAGUGGUUAGCCGCAAGGCGAAGCUACGAACUCAAGCCCCAGUAAACGGCGGCGGUAACUAUAACCGUCCUAAGGUAGCGAAAUUCCUUGUCGGGUAAGUUCCGACCUGCACGAAUGGAGUAACAAAGAUGCCGCUGUCUCAACCAAGUGCUCGGCGAAAUUGUGGUACGAGUGAAGACGCUCGUUACGCGUGGUUAGACGAAAAGACCCCGUGGAGCUUUACUGUAACUUGUCAUUGUGUUAUGGAUUUAAAUGCGUAGAAUAGCUGGGAGCCUUUGAGACAAGGGUUGUGGCCCUUGUGGAGGCGCAAUGUGAAAUACCAGCCUUUCGAAUCCGUGACACUAACCUACGGCCAUUAUCUGGCCUAGGGACCGUGACAGGCGGGCAGUUUGACUGGGGCGGUCGCCUCCUAAACGGUAACGGAGGCGUUCCAAGGUUCGCUCAGGGCGCAUAGUAAUCGCCCAUCGAGUGCAUUGGCAGAAGCGAGCUUGACUGCAAGGCCUACAAGCCGGGCAGGGACGAAAGUCGGACAAAGUGAUCCGGUGGUACCUCGUGGGAGGGCCAUCGCUCAACGGAUAAAAGCUACCCCGGGGAUAACAGGCUGAUCUGGUCCAAGAGUUCACAUCGACGACCAGGUUUGGCACCUCGAUGUCGGCUCAUCGCAUCCUCCCGCUGGAGCAGGUGGGAAGGGUUGGGCUGUUCGCCCAUUAAAGCGGUACGUGAGCUGGGUUCAGUACGUCGUGAGACAGUACGGUCUCUAUCUACCAUGCGCGUUAGGAAGCUUGAAGGGAGCUGUCCCUAGUACGAGAGGACCGGGAUGGACGAACCUCCUGUAUGCCAGUUGUCACGCCAGUGGCAUCGCUGGGUAGCGGUGUUCGGUCGGGAUAAACGCUGAAAGCAUCUAAGCGUGAAACCCUCCUUAAGAUAAGGCUUCCCUAGGUCGCAAGACCUCUGAAGGACGCAGGAAGACUACCUGCUUGAUAGGCUGCGAGUGUAAGCGCCGCGAGGCGUUGAGCGAAGCAGUACUAAUCGUCCGUGAGUCUUGGCCGUAU